GUCCUCGUUUUGGCAGUACAUAUACUAAAAUUGGAACAAUACAGAGAAGAUGAGCAUGGCCCCUGUGCAAGGAUAACAUGCAAAUUCGUGAAGUGGUUCAUAUGUCU
Molecule: small nuclear RNA, 107 nt
Organism: Rattus rattus (black rat)
Lineage: Eukaryota; Metazoa; Chordata; Mammalia; Rodentia; Muridae
Source: RefSeq, a predicted model, not a curated record